GAUGAACGCUGGCGGCGUGCCUAAUACAUGCAAGUCGAGCGAACAGACGAGGAGCUUGCUCCUUCGACGUUAGCGGCGGACGGGUGAGUAACACGUAGGUAACCUACCUAUAAGACUGGGAUAACUUCGGGAAACCGGAGCUAAUACCGGAUAAUAUUUCGAACCGCAUGGUUCGAUAGUGAAAGAUGGCUUUGCUAUCACUUAUAGAUGGACCUGCGCCGUAUUAGCUAGUUGGUAAGGAACGGCUUACCAAGGCAACGAUACGUAGCCGACCUGAGAGGGUGAUCGGCCACACUGGAACUGAGACACGGUCCAGACUCCUACGGGAGGCAGCAGUAGGGAAUCUUCCGCAAUGGGCGAAAGCCUGACGGAGCAACGCCGCGUGAGUGAUGAAGGUCUUCGGAUCGUAAAACUCUGUUAUUAGGGAAGAACAAACGUGUAAGUAACUGUGCACGUCUUGACGGUACCUAAUCAGAAAGCCACGGCUAACUACGUG
This 496-nucleotide ribosomal RNA is filed under the name uncultured bacterium. Its description in RNAcentral is "partial 16S ribosomal RNA". It matches the Rfam family "Bacterial small subunit ribosomal RNA", at positions 28 to 507 of the family's 1533-position model. The record is from RNAcentral.